CACACACACAGACACAGGAUACACACACACACAGACACAGGAUACCUGUAUCCGUAACAGGAGGAAAGAGGGGGAGUAAAGAGAAGAGGGUAAAAGCCCGUCCAGGGCCGAUGACUCAUCACAACACCUGAGGCGCUUAGUGGUGACAUCAUCACUACUGUGACAUCACGACCCUGACUGAUGAUGGCUUUAACAGCUCAUGGCAAAAGGUCCCAGCAUUGAUAUAAUGUACCACGCGUGUGUGUGUGUGUGUGUGUGUGUGUGUGUCUGUGUGUGUGUGUGUAUUAGCAUUCUGUAAAAGACCCCAGGGUUCCUUCUCUGUCCAGUAUAAAUAUAAACAUUUAAACACAGAAACACACGUCAACACGAGACACUAGAUGCUUGGUGUCCUCAGUCUUGCAGUGAGGAGCAGAAUGAACAGUGUAAUGCUGAAUGUUACGUGUUAACUCUAUAUAGACAGUGAGGAGCAGAAUGAACAGUGUAAUGCUGAAUGUUACCUGUUAACUCUAUAUAGACAGUGAGGAGCAGAAUGAACAGUGUAAUGCUGAAUGUUACCUGUUAACUCUAUAUAGACAGUGAGGAGCAGAAUGAACAGUGUAAUGCUGAAUGUUACCUGUUAACUCUAUAUAGACAGUGAGGAGCAGAAUGAACAGUGUAAUGCUGAAUGUUACCUGUUAACUCUAUAUAGACAGUGAGGAGCAGAAUGAACAGUGUAAUGCUGAAUGUUACGUGUUAACUCUAUAUAGACAGUGAGGAGCAGAAUGAACAGUGUAAUGCUGAAUGUUACCUGUUAACUCUAUAUAGACAGUGAGGAGCAGAAUGAACAGUGUAAUGCUGAAUGUUACGUGUUAACUCUAUAUAGACAGUGAGGAGCAGAAUGAACAGUGUAAUGCUGAAUGUUACGUGUUAACUCUAUAUAGACAGUGAGGAGCAGAAUGAACAGUGUAAUGCUGAAUGUUACGUGUUAACUCUAUAUAGACAGUGAGGAGCAGAAUGAACAGUGUAAUGCUGAAUGUUACGUGUUAACUCUAUAUAGACAGUGAGGAGCAGAAUGAACAGUGUAAUGCUGAAUGUUACGUGUUAACUCUAUAUAGACAGUGAGGAGCAGAAUGAACAGUGUAAUGCUGAAUGUUACGUGUUAACUCUAUAUAGACAGUGAGGAGCUGAAUGAACAGUGUAAUGCUGAAUGUUACGUGUUAACUCUAUAUAGACAGUGAGGAGCAGAAUGAACAGUGUAAUGCUGAAUGUUACGUGUUAACUUGAAAACACAACGUCAAAAACAAAAUGAAACUGCUCCCGAAAAUGAUUAAAUGAUAAAACUAUAAAAUGUAUGUGUUGAUAUGUGUACAUAAAUUGGUCAUCAAAUGUGAUCUGAUCUUUAUAGACACAACAAUAGACAAACACAGUCUGCUUCAACUAAUAACACACAAAUUAUUGUAUUUUUCUUGUCUAUAUUGAAUACAUCAUUUAAACCUUCACAGUGCAGGUUGGAAAAAGUAUGUGAACCCCGAGGCUAAUCACUUCUCCAAAAGCUAAUUGGAGUCAGGAGUCAACUGACCUGGAGUCCAAUCAAUGAGACGAGAUUAGAGAUGAUGGUUAGAGCUGCCCUAUAAAAAAACACUCACACAGUCAGAGUUUACUGUUCACAAGAAGCAUUGCCUGAUGUGAACCAUGCCUCGAACAAAAGAGAUCUCAUAAGACCUAAAAUUAACCUAUUUAAUCCCAUCAGUCACAAUAGUGAAAAAAAAAAUGCUUUCAGUUAUAAGGUUCUAUAAAUGUUACUGAAUGGCGUAUCAAUGUAUUUCCAGUUAUAAGGCUCUAUAAAUGUUACUGAAUGACAUAUCAAUGUAUUUCCAGUUAUAAGGCUCUAUAAAUGUUACUGAAUGACAUAUCAAUGUAUUUCCAGUUAUAAGGCUCUAUAAAUGUUACUGCAUGACGUAUCAAUGUAUUUCCAGUUAUAAGGCUCUAUAAAUGUUACUGAAUGACGUGUCAAUGUAUUUCCAGUUAUAAGGCUCUAUAAAUGUUACUGAAUGACAUAUCAAUGUAUUUCCAGUUAUAAGGCUCUAUAAAUGUUACUGAAUGACGUAUCAAUGUAUUUCCAGUUAUAAGGCUCUAUAAAUGUUACUGAAUGACGUAUCAAUGUAUUUCCAGAUAUAAGGCUCUAUAAAUGUUACUGAAUGACAUAUCAAUGUAUUUCCAGUUAUAAGGCUCUAUAAAUGUUACUGAAUGACGUAUCAAUGUAUUUCCAGUUAUAAGGCUCUAUAAAUGUUACUGAAUGACGUAUCAAUGUAUUUCCAGUUGUCACGAACCGGCUCAAAGCCCGUAACAAAGGGAGACAACGUGGAGAUAAGGAGUAGCAAAAUAUGUAUUUAUUACCUAAAGCAACUAAGUAUAAUAUACAAUGGUGUGUGUAAUCAGUAAUCAGUAGUGUAAGUGAGUGUUUUGCAUGCAUGAAUGUGAUAAUGCAGGGUGAUGAAAGGUGCCAAAGCAAACAAACAAACGGCCACCAAGAACCACAACACAAUCUACAAAGGGUGUCUGCAUGGAGAGAGUCUCCUCCAUGAAUGUGGAAGAGGUCUAUUUAUCCUGGGAGACACCUGGCCCAGGUGUUUCCCAUGUAGCUGACGACCCUCCCAACUCCGCCCACCGGCAUCCUAAUAAGGAAACAAGAACAAAGACAGAAUACGGCAGACAAGAGUGGGAGGGUCGUCACACAGUUAUAAGGCUCUAUAAAUGUUACUGAAUGAUGUAUCAAUGCAUUUCCAGCAAAUAUUGAAAUAAAAGAGGGUCUCAAUGAAAUAUGUGCAGUGUCACAUGUUCAAUGUACAUUGUCUCAUGUUUACUGUAAUUUGGCACAUGUUCAGUGUUAAUUGUCACAUGACCAGAGCUGUUUACUUCCUGGUUGCACCAUGAGAAGAGGAUGGCUGCAUCAAAGCUCCCAAACAAAAGUUUGACUUUGAGUCAAGUUCUGGAUAUGUUGGACCUAGGUGACGGCCCAGACAAGGCAACAUUGCAGUUAUCCCUCAAAAUGAGAAAGCUGCUGUCCUCCGUGAUUGUGAUGGCGAUGGGUCAGAUAUGGACUAUGAGGGGGAGACAGGCCAUUUGCCAGCCAGGCUGUUGAAUGUAUAUGCUGAACCUAUCACAAACAGAUCAUGACAGGAACAAUGUUAUCAGUGAUGAUGACCUUCCCCUCACUUGCCUCACCCAGUGUUAAGGGAAUUUUUUUAUCAAUGAUGACUAAUUAUGGACACAUUUCAAUCAGGACUGACUAAUCAGAAUACUAUUAUAUUACUGUAUAUGUACUAAUCAGAAUACUAUUAUGUUACUGUAUAUGUACUAAUCAGAAUACUAUUAUGUUAGUGUAUAUGUACUAAUCAGAAUACUAUUAUGUUAGUGUAUAUGUACUAAUCAGAAUACUAUUAUGUUACUGUAUAUGUACUAAUCAGAAUACUAUUAUGUUACUGUAUAUGUACUAAUCAGAAUACUAUUAUGUUACUGUAUAUGUACUAAUCAGAAUACUAUUAUGUUACUGUAUAUGUAUGAGUUUUCUUUCUUGAUCUAGUACUGAAUAUAAUGUGUGUGAAUGUCAUCAAGAGGUAGAACAAUGACGGUCUGUUCCUGGGUAGGAAUGAAUGAACGAUAUCUUCAGACUGGCUAGAAUGCUUAUCUACACCGGAAAACCUUGGCUCAGCCAUAAAUUAUAUUAAAUUGGUAGGGAGACGGAUGUGGGAAGGCUUGAGAUACAUCCUUUGUACUGGAACGGAGAUGGCACGGGUUGGUACUGGAACUAAUGACGUCAUUUUCAGUUUAUAACCUGUGGUAACCUGUAUCGUGUUCAGUACUCUCGUGAAUAAACUCUGCUGUUGGACUUUAA
Oncorhynchus nerka (sockeye salmon) is the source of this 3874-nucleotide long non-coding RNA. RefSeq lists it as uncharacterized. The transcript has 2 exons. NCBI's taxonomy places the organism in Eukaryota, Metazoa, Chordata, Actinopteri, Salmoniformes, Salmonidae. The record is from RefSeq and is a predicted model, not a curated record.